This 468-nucleotide ribosomal RNA is filed under the name uncultured bacterium. RNAcentral describes it as "partial 16S ribosomal RNA". It matches the Rfam family "Bacterial small subunit ribosomal RNA", at positions 28 to 507 of the family's 1533-position model. The record is from RNAcentral.
GACGAACGCUGGCGGCGUGCUUAACACAUGCAAGUCGAACGGAAAGGCCCUGCUUUUGUGGGGUGCUCGAGUGGCGAACGGGUGAGUAACACGUGAGUAACCUGCCCUUGACUUUGGGAUAACUUCAGGAAACUGGGGCUAAUACCGGAUAGGAGCUCCUGCUGCAUGGUGGGGGUUGGAAAGUUUCGGCGGUUGGGGAUGGACUCGCGGCUUAUCAGCUUGUUGGUGGGGUAGUGGCUUACCAAGGCUUUGACGGGUAGCCGGCCUGAGAGGGUGACCGGCCACAUUGGGACUGAGAUACGGCACAGACUCCUCCGGGAGGCAGCAGUGGGGAAUAUUGCACAAUGGGCUGAAGCCUGAUGCAGCAACGCCGCGUGCGGGAUGACGGCCUUCGGGUUGUAAUCCGCUUUCGCCUGUGACGAAGCGUGAGUGACGGUAAUGGGUAAAGAAGCACCGGCUAACUACGUG